UUGAGGGCAAACCUGUCUCCUGCACCCAAUCAGUGAAAUUGAUCUCCUGGUACAAAAGCCAGAAUAAUUACAUAAGACGAGAAGACCCUGUGGAGCUUAAAAUUUACAACUACUUAAAAACUAGUAUCAAUUUUAAGUUGGGGCGACUUCGGAACAAAACAAAACUUCCGAGCUAGGAGUUAACUCACUCCAAAUAAGGCCAACAAGCCAACUAAACCGACCCAGUCACACUGAUCAACGAACCAAGUUACCCCAGGGAUAACAGCGCAAUCCCCUCCAAGAGUCCAUAUCGACAAGGGGGUUUACGACCUCGAUGUUGGAUCAGGACACCCUAAUGGUGCAGCCGCUAUUAAAGGUUCGUUUGUUCAACGAUUAAUAGUCCUACGUGAUCUG
RNAcentral lists this ribosomal RNA (393 nucleotides) under Ablepharus kitaibelii. RNAcentral's name for it is "partial large subunit ribosomal RNA". It matches the Rfam family "Bacterial large subunit ribosomal RNA", at positions 2004 to 2607 of the family's 2925-position model. The record is from RNAcentral. Lineage: Eukaryota; Metazoa; Chordata; Lepidosauria; Squamata; Scincidae.